UACGGAGGAUGCGAGCGUUAUCCGGAUUUAUUGGGUUUAAAGGGUGCGUAGGCGGAUCGUUAAGUCAGUGGUCAAAUUGAGGGGCUCAACCCCUUCCCGCCAUUGAAACUGGCGAUCUUGAGUGGAAGAGAAGUAUGCGGAAUGCGUGGUGUAGCGGUGAAAUGCAUAGAUAUCACGCAGAACCCCGAUUGCGAAGGCAGCAUACCGGCUUCCUACUGACGCUGAAGCACGAAAGCGUGGGGAUCGAACAGG
This 252-nucleotide ribosomal RNA is filed under the name uncultured bacterium. RNAcentral describes it as "partial 16S ribosomal RNA". It matches the Rfam family "Bacterial small subunit ribosomal RNA", at positions 524 to 776 of the family's 1533-position model. The record is from RNAcentral.